UUAUUAUCAAAAAGAAACCACAGAGAAAACAAAAUGUUAUGUGGAAAGAAGUUUCCGACCAUGGUUCAACUAACUAGCUCUAUAAAUGUCUUAAGCGGAGGAAGCAAGCGCAAACACAAGUGCCUGUGAAAAUGUAAACAAACGGUUAUAUUGCUAUGGCAUCUGAAAUACAAAACAUUUCAGUCAGUAGAUAAAUAAGAUGGACGUGUGUGCCAUCAUAAAUUAUAGGAUCUACUCAGAGUACGCUAAGUAAUAUAAUAAAGGUGUAAGGAACGUGCAAAUUGGACUGUGGAGGACUAGUGCAAAGUAAUAUUUAGCAAUGAGUCUCGUGUUUUCCUUGGAGCAGUGAAUGACAAAGGAAAAUUUGUUUGGCAGUGAUCUAACGAAAAAUUUAAUAAAGAUUGCAUGAAUCAUAAACAAAAAUAACCAUAAUUUUAUAUGAUAUGGAGUUGUAUGACAGAAAGGGGAGUGGGAAAACUAUGCAUUAUGUACCAGAACGUGAACGCAGAAACAUAUUAAUAUAUUAAUAUAUUUUAGAAGAUUUAGAGCAAAAUCAUAUUAAAACAUUGAAGUGACCUGCGAACAGCUCCAACUUGAACCCAAUCGAGAACAUAUGGGCAAAAUUAAUAAAAUUGAUUUAUGAGAAAAACUAAAGAUUAAAGAUAUGCUGUACAUGCUACUUCGACAUGCAAUACAAUUGUCGUGGAAAGAAAUUUCGUCUAGGGAUUGUGAAAACUUAGCAGUGUCAAUGCCCCCAAUGCAUUAAAAGUGUCAUAUGAGAACGUGAUAAUGUAACAAAAUAUUAAUAAUUCAAUGAUCAGAGACUUUUUUCCAACAUUUGUACUGACCGGAAACUUUUUGCCACAUAACAUUUUGUUUUCUGUGUGGUUUCUCUUUGAUAAUAAGUGAAAGAUUGUGUUACGUUA
Megalopta genalis is the source of this 926-nucleotide non-coding RNA. The record is from RefSeq and is a predicted model, not a curated record. NCBI's taxonomy places the organism in Eukaryota, Metazoa, Arthropoda, Insecta, Hymenoptera, Halictidae.